Molecule: long non-coding RNA, 1240 nt
Organism: Coregonus clupeaformis (lake whitefish)
Lineage: Eukaryota; Metazoa; Chordata; Actinopteri; Salmoniformes; Salmonidae
Exons: 5
Source: RefSeq, a predicted model, not a curated record
AUGUAUGAAACGCUGCAAACGCUGCAAUAUUUCUUAAAUCAACAAAUCAAUCAUAAUCAUGUUCAAUAUCAUCAUACAUUGUCUUUCUAUGUCGUAAUGACACAUUUCACACAAACCUAAUUCCUUUUAAAUUGGAACCAAAUUAUUUCAUGGAAAUAGUAGUAGAGGAGGACAGAAUUGGUGUUACUUUCUGUCUGUGUGUGGCUGAAGACCACAGCAUCAGUUCAUCUUGGUAUCAGAACAGCAUUGGUUUAUAAGGGAGAAACUGGUCAGCUGGAAAGACUAAGAUAGAUACAGUAGGACCAAGUCAGGUGUAUGUUACAUUUGCUUCUCUACACGUGCAGGACUGAAACUUGGGAAUCAGAACUGUCAGCCUUACAGACUGGCCUCAGUUUCUCUAGGACUGCUGUGUGUUCUCUUGCUGACCGCAGUCAUAAGUCUAUCUGUACACUGUGAGUAUUCAACAAUCACAGGUGGUAGGGUGUGUGUGUGUGUGUAACAAAACAUAAAAUGAUACAUUUGUUCUCUGUUCCAUCACAGAUGGCAAUGACUACAAUCAACCAUACUUCAGAGAAGGAAGAACUUCAGACUAGUUACGAAAACCUGACUAAGGAGAGAGACCAGCUGGAGACUUCUUUCAACGCCUUGAAUAAAGACAGAGACCAGUUACGGACCAAUUUUAACACCUUGAUUGAAGAUAAAUACCAGUUACAAAGGAAAAUGUCAGAGCUGGAAAUAAAUAUUUCAGAAGAACUGGGAUAAUAUCCUGUCAGUUGGAUGAGAUUCAAGUCUAGCUGUUAUUACCUCUCUUAUGAGAAAAAAACCUGGAGUCAGAGAAGAGCAUAAUGUAAUAAUAGAGGAGAGGACCUUGUGAUCAUAAACAGUAGAGACAAACAGGUGUUUCUGAAUAAAUUGGCUAACAAUCUGAAGGGACCUGGAAAUUGGUGGAUGGAACAACUCUAACUACAACACAAUCAGUGCAUUUGAAGCAGAGGAGAGGAAGCAACUGAAGACUAUUGAGAUACAACCGGUGAAGGAGGUUGGCUUCAAGAGAGAGUUUGCAUCUGUGGGUAGUCUACACUAGCGUCCGACCCAGGACAAGGUCAAAUCAUUCAUUUAUUGUAAGGUGAUUGUGUCAGAGCCUGACUUAACAGGAUAGACCUAAAGUGUCAGAUAAAACUAUCUGGGACUGGGACUGAACAAAGAGAGGACAGAGAUCCGGUAUGGACAUACAUUUGAU